AGAGAACUGAAAGUGGAGCCUGUCACAUCUCCAGACUGCAGUUUUAGUUUUCCUG
RNAcentral lists this microRNA precursor (55 nucleotides) under Nomascus leucogenys (northern white-cheeked gibbon). RNAcentral describes it as "microRNA nle-mir-3925 precursor". Lineage: Eukaryota; Metazoa; Chordata; Mammalia; Primates; Hylobatidae. The record is from miRBase by way of RNAcentral.